AACUUUUGUGAUCACUAAAGCACUGUAAGAGUUUACCAAUAUACUUAAUAGUAUACAUAUAGGGCAACCAAGCGAUAUUACUAAUGCUGUGAAAGAACAGAAGCGCAGUAUGUGAUUUCUUUUGUUCUUCCUUUUUAUACGUACAUGUACGCGCUUAGACUUAAGCAGCUUGAGGAACUUUUUUUUUACACUCAUUCUAUGCUGUUUAUUUUUAAACUCUUCUUUUGUCAUAUGACGCUAGAAUUUGUCGGCACAUUAAAAUUAGCAUUCCCUUUACACUUACUUAACCUUUUUACUUCUAUGAC
Cinara cedri is the source of this 305-nucleotide non-coding RNA. Lineage: Eukaryota; Metazoa; Arthropoda; Insecta; Hemiptera; Aphididae. The record is from the annotation of a GenBank genome assembly.